UACGUAGGGGGCAAGCGUUGUCCGGAAUCACUGGGCGUAAAGCGCACGUAGGCGGAUCUUUAAGUCAGGGGUGAAAUCCCGAGGCUCAACCUCGGAACUGCCUUUGAUACUGGGGAUCUCGAGUCCGGGAGAGGUGAGUGGAACUGCGAGUGUAGAGGUGAAAUUCGUAGAUAUUCGCAAGAACACCAGUGGCGAAGGCGGCUCACUGGCCCGGAACUGACGCUGAGGUGCGAAAGCGUGGGGAGCAACAGGG
This 253-nucleotide ribosomal RNA is filed under the name uncultured bacterium. RNAcentral describes it as "partial 16S ribosomal RNA". It matches the Rfam family "Bacterial small subunit ribosomal RNA", at positions 524 to 776 of the family's 1533-position model. The record is from RNAcentral.